ACAGAGGGGGCCGAAAAUCUUUAAAAGAGUAGGGA
RNAcentral lists this non-coding RNA (35 nucleotides) under unclassified sequences. RNAcentral describes it as "DUF805b RNA". It matches the Rfam family "DUF805b RNA". Rfam says of the family: Bacteroidetes, Chlorobi (1 example), Proteobacteria. Lineage (Flavobacteria) The record is from RNAcentral.